RNAcentral lists this ribosomal RNA (592 nucleotides) under uncultured bacterium. RNAcentral's name for it is "partial 16S ribosomal RNA". It matches the Rfam family "Bacterial small subunit ribosomal RNA", at positions 355 to 1376 of the family's 1533-position model. The record is from RNAcentral.
UGGGGAAUCUUCCGCAAUGGACGAAAGUCUGACGGAGCAACGCCGCGUGAGUGAAGAAGGUUUUCGGAUCGUAAAACUCUGUCUUUUGGGGCGAACGUGAGUAUGGUGAACAAUCAUAGUCAGUGACGGUACCAAAGGAGGAAGCCACGGCUAACUACGUGCCAGCAGCCGCGGUAAUACGUAGGUGGCAAGCGUUGUCCGGAAUUAUUGGGCGUAAAGAGCGCGUAGGCGGGAUAGUCAGUCUGUUGUAAAGUGCGGGGCUCAACCCCGUGAUGGCAAUGGAAACAGCUAUUCUUGAGUGCAGGAGAGGAAAGGUGGAAUUCCCAGUGUAGCGGUGAAAUGCGUAGAUAUUGGGAGGAACACCAGUGGCGAAGGCGACUUUCUGGACUGUGUCUGACGCUGAGGCGCGAAAGCCAGGGGGAGCGAACGGGAUUAGAUACCCCGGUAGUCCUGGCCGUAAACGAUGGGUACUAGGUGUGGGAGGUAUCGACCCCCUUCCGUGCCGGAGUUAACGCAAUAAGUACCCCCGCCUGGGGAGUACGGUCGCAAGACUGAAACUCAAAGGAAUUGACGGGGUCAUAGCUGUUUCCUG